Molecule: ribosomal RNA, 627 nt
Filed under: Gelopellis sp. MEL2063389
Lineage: Eukaryota; Fungi; Basidiomycota; Agaricomycetes; Phallales; Claustulaceae
Description: eukaryotic LSU rRNA
Rfam family: Eukaryotic large subunit ribosomal RNA
Source: RNAcentral
UCAAUAAGCGGAGGAAAAGAAACUAACAAGGAUUCCCCUAGUAACGGCGAGUGAAGCGGGAUGAGCUCAAAUUUGUAAUCUGGCGGUCUCGCGGCCGUCCGAGUUGUAAUCUGGAGAAGCGUUUUCGGCGCCGGUCCGCGUACAAGUCCCCUGGAACGGGGCGUCGCAGAGGGUGAGAAUCCCGUCUUUGACGCGGUCCGCCGGUGCCGUGCGAUGCGCUCUCGAAGAGUCGAGUUGUUUGGGAAUGCAGCUCAAAACGGGUGGUAAAUUCCAUCUAAAGCUAAAUACUGGCGAAAGACCGAUAGCGAACAAGUACCGUGAGGGAAAGAUGAAAAGCACUUUGGAAAGAGAGUCAAACAGUACGUGAAAUUGUUGAAAGGGAAACGCUUGAAGUCAGUCGCGUCUCUCGGGACUCAGCCGGGUUGGUUCUCGGUGUAUUUCCCGAGUCUGGACGGGCCAGCAUCGGUUUCGACCGUCGUAAAAAGGCGUGAGGAAUGUGGCACCCUUCUGGGUGUGUUAUAGCCUCUCGUCGUAUGCGACGGACGGGACUGAGGAACGCAGCGCGCCCCUUUCGGGGCCGGGGUUCGCCCACGUAACGCGCUUAGGAUGCUGCCGUAAUGGCUUUAA